AUGAUACGCGAGGAACCUUACCCGGGACUUGAAAUAGCAUCUGACCGGCCUUGAAAGAGGCACUCCCUUCGGGGCAGAUGUGUAGGUGCUGCAUGGUUGUCGUCAGUUCGUGCCGUGAGGUGUCGGCUUAAGUGCCAUAACGAGCGCAACCCUCAUCAUUAGUUACCAUCAGGUAAGGCUGGGGACUCUAAUGAGACUGCCAUCGUAAGAUGUGAGGAAGGUGGGGAUGACGUCAAAUCAGCACGGCCCUUACGUCCGGGGCGACACACGUGUUACAAUGGGUGGUACAAAGGGCAGCUACCUGGCGACAGGAUGCUAAUCUCGAAAACCGCUCUCAGUUCGGAUCGGAGUCUGCAACUCGACUCCGUGAAGCUGGAUUCGCUAGUAAUCGCGCAUCAGCCACGGCGCGGUGAAUACGUUCCCGGGCCUU
This 430-nucleotide ribosomal RNA is filed under the name uncultured Proteiniphilum sp. RNAcentral describes it as "bacterial SSU rRNA". It matches the Rfam family "Bacterial small subunit ribosomal RNA", at positions 954 to 1382 of the family's 1533-position model. Lineage: Bacteria; Pseudomonadati; Bacteroidota; Bacteroidia; Bacteroidales; Dysgonomonadaceae. The record is from RNAcentral.